GGAAUAUUGGUCAAUGGGUGAGAGCCUGACCCAGCCAUGCCGCGUGCAGGAAGACGGCCUUCUGGGUUGUAAACUGCUUUUACCAGGGGAUAAAACGCCCUUGCGAGGUUAAUUGAAGUUACCUGGGGAAUAACCACCGGCUAACUACGUGCCAGCACCCGCGGUAAUACGUAGGGUGCAAGCGUUUUCCGGAUUUAUUGGGUUUAAAGGGUGCGUAGGCGGGCUAUUAAGUCAGUGGUGAAAUCCAACAGCUCAACUGUUGAUGUGCCAUUGAUACUGGUAGCCUUGAGUACAGAUGAGGUAGGCGGAAUUGACAGUGUAGCGGUGAAAUGCAUAGAUAUUGUCAAGAACUCCGAUAGCGAAGGCAGCUUACUGGGCUGUAACUGACGCUGAUGCACGAAAGUGUGGGGAUCA
This 414-nucleotide ribosomal RNA is filed under the name uncultured bacterium. RNAcentral's name for it is "bacterial SSU rRNA". It matches the Rfam family "Bacterial small subunit ribosomal RNA", at positions 358 to 770 of the family's 1533-position model. The record is from RNAcentral.